This 427-nucleotide ribosomal RNA is filed under the name uncultured bacterium. RNAcentral describes it as "bacterial SSU rRNA". It matches the Rfam family "Bacterial small subunit ribosomal RNA", at positions 354 to 796 of the family's 1533-position model. The record is from RNAcentral.
GUGGGGAAUUUUCCGCAAUGGGCGCAAGCCUGACGGAGCAACGCCGCGUGGGUGACGAAGGAUUUCGGUCUGUAAAGCCCUUUCAGUCGGGACGAGUCGCAGACGGUACCGACAGAAGAAGCAUCGGCUAACUACGUGCCAGCAGCCGCGGUAAGACGUAGGAUGCGAGCGUUGUCCGGAAUUAUUGGGCGUAAAGCGUACGUAGGCGGUCAUCUAAGUCUGGGGUUAAAGACCAAGGCUCAACCUUGGGAGUGCCCUGGAUACUGGGUGACUGGAGGACGGCAGAGGAAAGUGGAAUUCCCAGUGUAGCGGUGAAAUGCGUAGAUAUUGGGAGGAACACCAGUGGCGAAAGCGACUUUCUGGGCCGUUCCUGACGCUGAGGUACGAAAGCCAGGGGAGCAAACGGGAUUAGAAACCCGAGUAGUCC